Non-coding RNA from Podarcis lilfordi (Lilford's wall lizard), 1519 nucleotides. NCBI's taxonomy places the organism in Eukaryota, Metazoa, Chordata, Lepidosauria, Squamata, Lacertidae. The record is from the annotation of a GenBank genome assembly.
GGGAAAGUGUGUUCUCCUUCAUGGAGAGCACGUGUUGCGGUGGGGUCUGCCGAGCCACCCCUCUGUUACCAGGCAGGGUCUCUAAAGAUGGCCUGGGGCAGUGAUUGGUUCACUGGGUUGCUCGGGUAAAAGUUAUGUUGCAAUUUUGGUGGGCGGGGUAAAAUGUUUAAAUACUCUGCACGCAGCCUGGAGCUUUCUCUUUGCUGCGUGCAAUGGAUCACCCGCCCACCCGCCCUAAAGUAAGGGGUUGUUGCAUUGACCUUGCUAUGCCUGUCAUGAGGUCGUCUGACGUUGGGGCAGGGGCCUGGUAGGAAUUUUGUCCAUCUGGCUGAUUGGCCGGGCCAUUUGGUUUUUGCCUACUGCGUAGCAAAUCGUCACAACUUGUAAGGCUGCGGUUAGGCAUUGGUUAUAAAUUGGUGGAGGAGGGGUUAGGAUAGGCUGGGCCUGCCCCUCCAUGGUUGCAGCGGAAAGGGAAUUCCGUUAAAGGAAUCCUGGGGCUUGCCAUCUUUUCAUCCAAUCCCUGGAAUGGGACUAGGGCCGGCAAGCCUUCGGGGAGCAUGCGGGUGAGAAUUGAGGGUCUGUGACUCAGCUCCAUUUCUCCCCGACUUGUUUUCCCGCACUGGCUUUCGGUGGUGCCCGGAAGUCAGUUCUGUCCCCAGGCGGGGGGACAGAUAGUCUUAACCAAUGCCUAAACAACCACUCACGGUUUUGUAUUUAAAUAAAGUUGUGGCCAAAAUUAUGCCAAAAACCUUAAACAAAAAUUAAGUGUGCGUUGUGAGUUAUUUGGGGGGUGGCUUGGGGACCUCGACAUGCAACGAGGAGGAGGAGAUAGGUAGCACUCCAAGUGGGGACUGAGGGGCAGAAUAUUGGCAGGCUGGAGACGCGAACCUGGUUCCCCAGAUUACGAGACUACCGCUCUUAACCACUACACCACAGUGGAAGAGUCAGUAGCCUUUGUAUUUGCCCAUCAUAACAUGAGGAACCCCCCCCCCACGUGGGUCAUCGUAUAAUUUCAGAAAUGUAGAAAAUAAAAUUUCAGAAUUAAAAUAGAAACUUUUCUUUCAUGACUCAGGAGAUGGUUUGCAUAGGAUGGGAUUGUGGUAUAUGUGUGUGGCAGGGGACUCAAAUUACAAUACUUUUACCCCCCCCCCAAAGCCCUAUGACACAACCCAUCGUAAUAUUGGGAGGGACAAUGGGUUUGGUUUUCUUUGGAAGAGAGAUCACUGGAGUCUCAGUGCAUUUUUUAAAAAAGUACUUACCCAUGAACAAGUUGUUAUUUUCUCACGCAGAUCGAACUUACAACGUCCCAGCGAAGGUGGAGUGGGAAAGAUGCCAGCUUCAAUUUUCUCUUCCAAUGAGCCAACAGUGACUGCUUUUGAGCAAUGAGCCAACAAUCUCCUCCCUAACAAAAGGAAGUUUAUACAAUGCAAUGUGAUCGUAUAUCAUUUUUGCAUUGAGAUACCAGCCCAUAAUCCUUUACAUUAAACCUUGACAACUUUGCUCAAAAUUGUGAACCAGC